Hanseniaspora osmophila is the source of this 120-nucleotide transfer RNA. It matches the Rfam family "tRNA". Rfam says of the family: Transfer RNA (tRNA) molecules are approximately 80 nucleotides in length. NCBI's taxonomy places the organism in Eukaryota, Fungi, Ascomycota, Saccharomycetes, Saccharomycodales, Saccharomycodaceae. The record is from Rfam.
GAAGCGGUGGCUCAAUGGUAGAGCUUUAGAUUCCAGAGUUCGAUUCUUUCCAGUCACAUGGGAAACAWAUUACAACCUCAAACACUCUAAGGGUUGCAGGUUCAAUUCCUGUCCGUUUCA